AGAGUUUGAUCCUGGCUCAGAAUCAACGCUGGCGGCGUGCCUAACACAUGCAAGUCGAACGAGAAAGUGGAGCAAUCCAUGAGUAAAGUGGCGCACGGGUGAGUAACACGUGACUAACCUACCUUUCAGUGGGGGAUAACCUAGGGAAACCUGGGCUAAUACCGCAUAAUACCUACGGGUCAAAGCAGCAAUGCGCUGAAAGAGGGGGUCGCGGCCGAUUAGCUAGUUGGCGGGGUAAUGGCCCACCAAGGCAGUGAUCGGUAUCCGGCCUGAGAGGGCGCACGGACACACUGGAACUGAAACACGGUCCAGACUCCUACGGGAGGCAGCAGUGGGGAAUUUUGCGCAAUGGGGGAAACCCUGACGCAGCAACGCCGCGUGGAGGAUGAAGUCCCUUGGGACGUAAACUCCUUUCGAUCGGGACGAUAAUGACGGUACCGGAAGAAGAAGCCCCGGCUAACUUCGUGCCAGCAGCCGCGGUAAUACGAGGGGGGCAAGCGUUGUUCGGAAUUAUUGGGCGUAAAGGGUGCGUAGGUGGUUCGGCAAGUCUUGUGUGAAAUCUUCAGGCUCAACUUGAAGUCUGCACAAGAAACUGCCGGGCUUGAGUAUGGGAGAGGUGAGUGGAAUUUCCGGUGUAGCGGUGAAAUGCGUAGAUAUCGGAAGGAACACCUGUGGCGAAAGCGGCUCACUGGACCAUUACUGACACUGAGGCACGAAAGCUAGGGGAGCAAACAGGAUUAGAUACCCUGGUAGUCCUAGCCCUAAACGAUGAUCGCUUGGUGUGGCGGGUAUCCAACCCUGCCGUGCCGAGCUAACGCGUUAGCGAUCCGCCUGGGGAGUACGUCGCAAGCUGAAACUCAAAGGAUGACGGGCCGCACAGCGUGAGCAUGUGUUAUCGACGCACGCGAGACUUACUGGCUCGAAUGUAUGACU
This 933-nucleotide ribosomal RNA is filed under the name uncultured soil bacterium. Its description in RNAcentral is "bacterial SSU rRNA". It matches the Rfam family "Bacterial small subunit ribosomal RNA", at positions 8 to 994 of the family's 1533-position model. The record is from RNAcentral.